Oryza glumipatula is the source of this 213-nucleotide non-coding RNA. The record is from Rfam. Lineage: Eukaryota; Viridiplantae; Streptophyta; Magnoliopsida; Poales; Poaceae.
UUUAAGUACAACGAUAAGUUUUUUUUUGGUCUAACUUUGAUCGUUCGUAUUAUUUAAAAAUUUUUUAUAAUUAGUAUUUUUGUUGUUAUGAGAUGAUAAAACAUGAAGAAUACUUUACUCAUUACUGACUUAUGUUUUUAAAUUUUUUUAAAAGUUUUUUUAAAUAAGACGAACGAUUAAAAUUAGGCGCAGAAAACCAUGACUACAAUUGAA